This 1709-nucleotide long non-coding RNA is filed under the name Salmo salar (Atlantic salmon). RNAcentral describes it as "lncRNA (ENSSSAG00000112363.1)". The record is from RNAcentral. Lineage: Eukaryota; Metazoa; Chordata; Actinopteri; Salmoniformes; Salmonidae.
UUUGAGUCUGUUCUAUGUUGUGUAUAAGUGCCUUCCAUGUAGGCGGAGAGAGGAUGUCUCUGUGUGUGUCUGUUAGAGCCAGUACAAGUAUUUGUGCAUAUUCUAUGUGUAAAUGUCGAGGAGAGGAGGGGGGUUGUGUUCAGCAUGUCUGACUGUUGACCGCCCACCCACCUUAUUUUUUCUCCAUAUUGGGAGAACACCAAGACUUAAACCAUAGACAGACCCAGACUAAAACAAUAGACCCAGACUAAAACAAUAGACCCAGACUAAAACAAUAGACCCAGACUAAAACCAUAAAUAGACCCAGACUAAAACAAUAGACCCAGACUAAAACCAUAGACAGACCCAGACUAAAACAAUAGACCCAGACUAAAACAAUAGACCCAGACUAAAACAAUAAACCCAGACUAAAUCAAUAGACCCAGGCUAAAACAAUAAACCCAGACUAAAUCAAUAGACCCUGACUAAAACCAUAAACAGACCCAGACUAAAACAAUAGACAGACCCAGACUAAAACAAUAAACCCAGACUAAAUCAAUAGACAGACCCAGACUAAAGCAAUAGACUCAGACUAAAACAAUAGACCCAGUCCUAAACAAUAGACAGACCCAGACUAAAACAAUAGACCCAGACCUAAACAAUAGAGUCAGACUAAAACAAUAGACCCAGUCCUAAACAAUAGACAGACCCAGACUAAAACAAAAGACUCAGUCUAAAAAAUAGAACCAGACUAAAACAAUAGAAACAGACUAAAACAAUAGAACCAGACUAAAACAAUAGAAACAGACUAAAACAAUAAAACCAGACUAAAACAAUAAAACCAGACUAAAACAAUAGAAACAGACUAAAACAAUAAAACCAGACUAAAACAAUAGAAACAGACUAAAACAAUAGAACCAGACUAAAACAAUAGAAACAGACUAAAACAAUAGAACCAGACUAAAACAAUAAAACCAGACUAAAACAAUAGAAACAGACUAAAACAAUAAAACCAGACUAAAACAAUAGAACCAGACUAAAACAAUAGAACCAGACUAAAACAAUAGAACCAGACUAAAACAAUAAAACCAGACUAAAACAAAAGACCCAGACUAAAAUAAUAGAAGCUUUUGGUUACUGUCAGAACACUCUUAACCUACCGUAAGGGUGUGAGUUCUAAAUUGUAUGGCAAUGAGAACAGUGUAAAGGUGAGAUAUCUAAAUCGUAUGGCUAUGAAGACACUGUAAGGGUGUGAGUUCUACAUUGUAUGGCUAUGAAGACGCUGUAAGGGUGUGCGUUCUACAUCAUAUGGCUAUGAGGACACUAAGGGUGGUAUGAUUUUCCAUGAAGUCUCUUGAGUUGAAAAAAUACAAUAAAAAGACUUUAGAUUUCCACGGAUAUCGUCCAUCUGCAGGUGAUGUCUCCCUUACUCGUCCAUCUGCAGGUGAUCUCUCCCUUACUCCUCCAUCUGCAGGUGAUCUCUCCCUUACUCCUCCAUCUGCAGGUGAUCUCUCCCUUACUCCUCCAUCUGCAGGUGAUACCUCCCUUACUUCUCCAUCUGCAGGUGAUACCUCCCUUACUCCUCCAUCUGUAUGUGAUACCUCCCUUACUCCUCCAUCUGUAUGUGAUGUCUCCCUUACUCGUCCAUCUGUAUGUGAUACCUCCCUUACUCCUCCAUCUGCAGGUGAUACCUCCCUUACUCCUCCAUCUGCAGGUGAUACCUCCCUUAC